RNAcentral lists this ribosomal RNA (255 nucleotides) under uncultured bacterium. RNAcentral's name for it is "partial 16S ribosomal RNA". It matches the Rfam family "Bacterial small subunit ribosomal RNA", at positions 524 to 777 of the family's 1533-position model. The record is from RNAcentral.
UACGGAGGGUGCGAGCGUUGUCCGGAAUCACUGGGCGUAAAGGGCGCGUAGGCGGCCUGACAAGCGUGUGGUGAAAGCUCGGGGCUCAACCCCGAGUCGGCCGUGCGAACUGUUGGGCUGGAGUGCUGUAGAGGCGGGCGGAAUUCCGGGUGUAGCGGUGGAAUGCGUAGAGAUCCGGAAGAACACCGGUGGCGAAGGCGGCCCGCUGGGCAGUGACUGGACGCUGAGGCGCGACAGCGUGGGGAGCAAACGAGG